This 228-nucleotide long non-coding RNA is filed under the name Lathyrus oleraceus (garden pea). RNAcentral's name for it is "Pisum sativum (pea) long non-coding RNA (PSAT_LNC031048)". The record is from RNAcentral. Lineage: Eukaryota; Viridiplantae; Streptophyta; Magnoliopsida; Fabales; Fabaceae.
AGAUGGUUCCAGGGAUUCAGGUAGCUUCGGGGAUGUUGGAUGAAGGUGUUUGAGUGUUUAAAUGGUGUUGAGAUUGACUGAAAGUUGGAACCUAAUACUCUGUUUUUGGAAGGGAGGUGGUGAGUUUGCAGCAACAUUUCAAUGGAUUUCAAGAUUUUUUUGAAAUGAGAGGAACAUGAUCUCAUAUUUAUAGGGAAGGUGAUGAAGUGACUUGGAGGGAGUUUUAGG